RNAcentral lists this ribosomal RNA (1010 nucleotides) under uncultured bacterium. Its description in RNAcentral is "bacterial SSU rRNA". It matches the Rfam family "Bacterial small subunit ribosomal RNA", at positions 8 to 1019 of the family's 1533-position model. The record is from RNAcentral.
AGAGUUUGAUCAUGGCUCAGAACGAACGCUGGCGGCGUGCUUAACACAUGCAAGUCGAGUGCGCGUCUGUAGCAAUACAGAUGGCGCACGGCGCACGGGUGCGUAACACGUGGGUAAUCUGCCCUUCGAUGGGGAAUAACCUCGCGAAAGCGAGGCUAAUUCCGCAUAACAUUCCUAGGACCUUGGUCUCUGGAUUCAAAGCCGUAAGGCGUCGAUGGAGGAACCCGCGCACGAUUAGCUAGUUGGUGAGGUAACGGCUCACCAAGGCUAUGAUCGUUAGCUGGUCUGAGAGGAUGGCCAGCCACACUGGAACUGAGACACGGUCCAGACUCCUACGGGAGGCAGCAGUGGGGAAUCUUGCACAAUGGGCGAAAGCCUGAUGCAGCGACGCCGCGUGGGGGAUGAAGCAUUUCGGUGUGUAAACCCCUUUCGACCGGGAAGAAUGCCUCGCAAGAGGACUGACGGUACCGGUAUAAGAAGCCCCGGCUAACUACGUGCCAGCAGCCGCGGUAAGACGUAGGGGGCCAGCGUUGUUCGGAAUUACUGGGUGUAAAGGGUUCGUAGGCGGUGUGGCAAGUUGGGAGUGAAAUCUCUGGGCUUAACCCAGAGGCUGCUUCCAAAACUGCUGUGCUUGAGUGUGGGAGAGGUGCGUGGAAUUGCAGGUGUAGCGGUGAAAUGCGUAGAUAUCUGCAGGAACACCCGUGGCGAAAGCGGCGCACUGGACCACAACUGACGCUGAGGAACGAAAGCUAGGGGAGCAAACAGGAUUAGAUACCCUGGUAGUCCUAGCCCUAAACGAUCAGGACUUGGGGUGGCUCACGUUCGUGAGUCGUCCCGGAGCUAACGCGUUAAGUCCUGCACCUGGGGAGUACGGUCGCAAGACUGAAACUCAAGGAAUUGACGGGGGCCCGCACAAGCGGUGGAACAUGUGGUUCAAUUCGACGCUACGCGAGGAACCUUACCUGGGCUCGAAAUGCUAGUGACCAGCUGUAGAAAAUACGGCCUUCCGC